Molecule: long non-coding RNA, 708 nt
Organism: Homalodisca vitripennis (glassy-winged sharpshooter)
Lineage: Eukaryota; Metazoa; Arthropoda; Insecta; Hemiptera; Cicadellidae
Exons: 5
Source: RefSeq, a predicted model, not a curated record
ACUAUUACACACACUUUGAUGAAGAGGGGGCACCCGGGAGGGGGGAUCUUGUAGUGCUCAUUCAGUGACCGGUCGCACUCAUUUGCCUACUACGUUCUCUCUGGUUCACCAGGUUGAGCCCUGGUGGAUUCUUCAGCUGUGAGUAGACAGAGAAUGAUACUAUCCUGGAUAACUUCAAACUGGUUCAUCCAUAUUUCUUUUACUAUAAGAUGAAAUGCACGAAAACCCUGCAACAACUACUUAUUCCACGCUCGGUCAUGAUACACCGUACCAGACCACUGGAGCUGGUUUCUAGGCCGAUUAUGUAAAGCAGAGAGUAAGGGUUAGGCUGACAAAUAGCCCGGUCCCACCUGCGGCGGCUGGGGUCAACGCCAUCUCACCGGGCCGCAGUCCUGUUGACAGAUUCAGGCCAAUGUAGAAGAGUUACUUGGUACAAAUAUUCUAAGCAGAUGGAUGGCUAUGAUAUUGAAAUUGACGUGGCAGCCAAGGUUUCAGGACUCCAAUCGUAGAAUUUCAUUGGUUCGGAAGAAGUUUCGAACAUGGAGUGGUCUGCAGAUGACUCAUCCCGGAAAUACUUGGAAUAAUUUGUUUACACUGGAAAUACCACGCACAACUGCCAGAAGAUUAUCAGUUUAAAAUUUUCUCCCAUUUCUCAGCACCUUUGAACUGUGGUAUAACAUAGCUCAUAAAAGCAAUAUUACAAGUUUA